RNAcentral lists this transfer-messenger RNA (317 nucleotides) under Bacillota bacterium. RNAcentral's name for it is "Firmicutes bacterium (anaerobic digester metagenome) partial transfer-messenger RNA". It matches the Rfam family "transfer-messenger RNA". Rfam says of the family: Bacterial tmRNA, also known as 10Sa RNA or SsrA, is named for its dual tRNA and mRNA-like properties. The record is from RNAcentral. Lineage: Bacteria; Bacillati; Bacillota.
GCAUCAGAAGCGAGCCGAGGUCCCCAAUGCCUCGUUAAAAGUGGGAUUUAAUUUAACUGCAAACAAUAAUUACGCUUUAGCUGCUUAGAUCGGCUAACGUCCCUUAUUUCUCCGUCCGUUAGAAACAAGACCGACGUCAAAUUACGGACUACCCUUUUGGCGCCGCCCGGAGCCGAGAUGGGGAAACUUACGGGCUGGUUCAUUCUUCAACUGGCUGCAGAGUAGUCGGAUGAACGAGAAUUAGACUGCAGCUGCGCUCGGAGAUGCUGGUGUGAUUUCACUUGCGGACAGCGGUGCAACUCCGCUCACCUCCACCA